Molecule: ribosomal RNA, 253 nt
Filed under: uncultured bacterium
Lineage: Bacteria
Description: partial 16S ribosomal RNA
Rfam family: Bacterial small subunit ribosomal RNA
Source: RNAcentral
UACGUAGGGGGCAAGCGUUGUCCGGAUUUACUGGGCGUAAAGAGCGCGUAGGCGGAAAUUUAAGCGUGGCCUGAAAGCCCCCGGCUCAACCGGGGAGUGCGGCUGCGAACUGGGUUUCUUGAGGACGAUAGAGGAGAGUGGAAUUCCUGGUGUAGCGGUGAAAUGCGUAGAUAUCAGGAGGAACACCAAUUGCGAAGGCAGCUCGCUGGGACGUAACUGACGCUGAGACGCGAAAGCGUGGGGAGCAAACAGG